UAGCUACAGCAGUGACUCUCAAAGUAUUCUCAAAUUCAACAAUAUGCUUCACCAACUUGGUUGGACCACAAGAGGAAAUUGGGUUUUGUGGUAACCCAAUAACUUAUUUUGCUCCAAGUGCUUAUGGGCAGCCAAGUGCAUGUAUGAUCAAUUUCCAAAGCUAUAUUGAUAAGAUGAUAAUCGCGGUAUCUGUUGAUGAAACUGCUAUUCCUGAUCCAAAACAGCUGCUUAAUGAUUUCGAAGAUUCUCUUAAUCUCAUAAAGGAUGCUGUUGUAAAAAGAGGGCUUGGCAAGAAUCUGAAAUAAUCAAGAAAUCCAACCAAGGAAGGUUGCUUAAUUUAAGUAAUUUUACUACGUUAAAGAACUUUUGAAACAAUUCACCAGCUCUUGUGUGUUGCAGUAAUUCUAUUUGCUAUUGCUUUCAAUUUGAUAUCGAAGAACAUGGUACAACAGUUUUCUGGGAAGCUACAGUUAAGUUAAUGUUAUUCAUAUCAUCAAUGUGUUAACCAA
Long non-coding RNA from Lycium barbarum (goji berry), 509 nucleotides. RefSeq lists it as uncharacterized. The record is from RefSeq and is a predicted model, not a curated record. The transcript has 2 exons. Lineage: Eukaryota; Viridiplantae; Streptophyta; Magnoliopsida; Solanales; Solanaceae.